UACGUAGGCAGCAAGCGUUGUUCGGAAUUACUGGGCGUAAAGCGUGCGUAGGCGGUGCCUCAAGUUUGGUGUGAAAUCUCCCGGCUCAACUGGGAGGGUGCGCCGAAAACUGAGGUGCUCGAGUGUGGGAGAGGUAGGCGGAAUUCCUGGUGUAGCGGUGAAAUGCGUAGAUAUCAGGAGGAACACCGGCGGUGUAGACGGCUUACUGGACCAUUACUGACGCUGAGGCACGAAAGUGUGGUGAGCAAACGGG
RNAcentral lists this ribosomal RNA (253 nucleotides) under uncultured bacterium. Its description in RNAcentral is "partial 16S ribosomal RNA". It matches the Rfam family "Bacterial small subunit ribosomal RNA", at positions 524 to 776 of the family's 1533-position model. The record is from RNAcentral.